RNAcentral lists this ribosomal RNA (981 nucleotides) under Leotiomycetes sp. genotype e50ss036. RNAcentral's name for it is "eukaryotic LSU rRNA". The stretch from base 454 to 981 matches the Rfam family "Eukaryotic large subunit ribosomal RNA", at positions 1 to 533 of the family's 3401-position model. The record is from RNAcentral. Lineage: Eukaryota; Fungi; Ascomycota; Leotiomycetes.
UACAGAGUUCAUGCCCGAGAGGGUAGACCUCCCACCCGUGUGUAUCGUUACUUUGUUGCUUUGGCGCGCCGCCCCCGGGCCUCGCGCGCGCGCCAGAGGCUCACCAAACCCUUGUUAUCAACGUCGUCUGAGCACUAUGUAAUAGUUAAAACUUUCAACAACGGAUCUCUUGGUUCUGGCAUCGAUGAAGAACGCAGCGAAAUGCGAUAAGUAAUGUGAAUUGCAGAAUUCAGUGAAUCAUCGAAUCUUUGAACGCACAUUGCGCCCCCUGGUAUUCCGGGGGGCAUGCCUGUUCGAGCGUCAUUUCAACCCUCAAGCGCAGCUUGGUAUUGAGCCCAUGUCAGCGAUGGCAGGCUCCAAAGGCAGUGGCGGCGCCGCUGGGCCCUGAACGUAGUAAUAUCUCUCGUUACAGGCGCUCGACGUGCUCCCGCCAAAACCCCAACUCUCUAUGGUUGACCUCGGAUCAGGUAGGGAUACCCGCUGAACUUAAGCAUAUCAAUAAGCGGAGGAAAAGAAACCAACAGGGAUUACCUCAGUAACGGCGAGUGAAGCGGUAAAAGCUCAAAUUUGAAAUCUGGCCCUCUCAGGGUCCGAGUUGUAAUUUGUAGAAGAUGCUUCGGGUGUGGUUCUGGUCUAAGUUCCUUGGAACAGGACGUCAUAGAGGGUGAGAAUCCCGUAUGUGACUGGAUGCCUACGCCCAUGUGAAGCUCUUUCGACGAGUCGAGUUGUUUGGGAAUGCAGCUCAAAAUGGGUGGUAUAUUUCAUCUAAAGCUAAAUAUUGGCCAGAGACCGAUAGCGCACAAGUAGAGUGAUCGAAAGAUGAAAAGCACUUUGGAAAGAGAGUUAAACAGUACGUGAAAUUGUUGAAAGGGAAGCGCUUGCAAUCAGACUUGCGCGCGGGGUUCAGCGGGGCUUCUGCCCCGUGCACUUCCCCGCGCGCAGGCCAGCAUCGGUUUGGGUGGUUAGAUAAAGGCCUGGAGA